This 346-nucleotide transfer-messenger RNA is filed under the name bovine gut metagenome. It matches the Rfam family "transfer-messenger RNA". From Rfam's summary of the family: Bacterial tmRNA, also known as 10Sa RNA or SsrA, is named for its dual tRNA and mRNA-like properties. Its role is to liberate the mRNA from a stalled ribosome. To accomplish this part of the tmRNA is used as a reading frame that ends in a translation stop signal. The record is from RNAcentral.
GGGCUUGUACUGGUUUCGACGGGGAUUUUGAAGUUGAGGAAGCCAUUCGUGGGGCGGGGCCACGCAGUAAACCGUAAACUUAAAUAUAAACGCAGACAAUAAAUUAGCGUUAGCUGCCUAAUUGCAGCUUGUCGCCUUUGAAUCAUCCGCUGUUCAAGGAUCCGGCAUCAAACCUGCGGAGCACUUUAUAGCCAAAGCUUUGCGGCUGUAAAAGAUUUAUGAAGCUACUAAAGUUCUAGCCUGUCGUUUGGCGUGGAAUGGAGGGAAUGUCCGUAAAACGACUGUAAUGGGAUAUGCUUCAAUGGAAGGGUUUUCGGACAGGGGUUCGACUCCCCUCAGGUCCACU